UACGUAGGGGGCAAGCGUUGUCCGGAAUCAUUGGGCGUAAAGCGCGCGUAGGUGGCCCGGUAAGUCCGCUCUGAAAAUCCAGGGCUCAACCCUGGGAUGCGGGUGGAUACUGCCGGGCUCGAGUCCGGAAGAGGCGAGUGGAAUUCCAGGUGUAGCGGUGAAAUGCGUAGAUAUCUGGAGGAACACCGGUGGCGAAGGCGGCAUCCUGGACCGGUAUUGACGCUGAGGCGCGAAAGCUAGGGGAGCAAACGGG
RNAcentral lists this ribosomal RNA (253 nucleotides) under uncultured bacterium. RNAcentral describes it as "partial 16S ribosomal RNA". It matches the Rfam family "Bacterial small subunit ribosomal RNA", at positions 524 to 776 of the family's 1533-position model. The record is from RNAcentral.